GAUGAACGCUAGCGGCAGGCCUAAUACAUGCAAGUCGAACGGUAAGGCCCUUUCGGGGGUACACGAGUGGCGGACGGGUGCGUAACGCGUAUGCAACAGUGCCUUCCAGCGGGGGAUAGUACCAGGGAAACUUGGCGCAAUACCCCAUAGAAUUACGGGACCGCAAGUGGUCUUGUGAUUAAAACUCCGGUGCUGGGAGAUUGGCAUGCGUGACAUUAGCUAGUUGGCGGGUAACGGCCCACCAAGGCGACGAUGUCUAGCUGGUCUGAGAGGAUGAUCAGCCACACUGGGACUGAGACACGGCCCAGACUCCUACGGGAGGCAGCGAGUAGGGAAUAUUGGAC
This 344-nucleotide ribosomal RNA is filed under the name uncultured bacterium. RNAcentral's name for it is "bacterial SSU rRNA". It matches the Rfam family "Bacterial small subunit ribosomal RNA", at positions 28 to 369 of the family's 1533-position model. The record is from RNAcentral.